This 23-nucleotide small nuclear RNA is filed under the name Arabidopsis thaliana (thale cress). Its description in RNAcentral is "snRNA_00122". The record is from RNAcentral. Lineage: Eukaryota; Viridiplantae; Streptophyta; Magnoliopsida; Brassicales; Brassicaceae.
AAUGAAAGCAAAUGUGCAUGAGA